Molecule: unclassified non-coding RNA, 345 nt
Filed under: soil metagenome
Description: partial contains 5.8S ribosomal RNA, internal transcribed spacer 2, and large subunit ribosomal RNA
Rfam family: 5.8S ribosomal RNA (bases 1-120)
Source: RNAcentral
GAUGAAGAACGCAGCGAAAUGCGAUACGUAAUGUGAAUUGCAGAAUUCAGUGAAUCAUCGAGUCUUUGAACGCACAUUGCGCCCCCUGGUAUUCCGGGGGGCAUGCCUGUCCGAGCGUCAUUGCUGCCGUCAAGCACGGCUUGUGUGUUGGGCCUCCGUCCUCCUCCCGGGGGACGGGCCCGAAAGGCAGCGGCGGCACCGCGUCCGGUCCUCGAGCGUAUGGGGCUUCGUCACCCGCUCUUGUAGGCCCGGCCGGCGCUUGCCGACACAUCAAUCUUUUUUCCAGGUUGACCUCGGAUCAGGUAGGGAUACCCGCUGAACUUAAGCAUAUCAAUAAGCGGAGGA